GAAAUAUGUAGAAACAAAAAAAAGCCGCUAACUUUUAUUUUUAAUGGUUAAACUCCAUUUAUAUUUCU
This 68-nucleotide transfer RNA is filed under the name Medetera sp. Qilemoge-2020. RNAcentral's name for it is "tRNA-Ser". The record is from RNAcentral. Lineage: Eukaryota; Metazoa; Arthropoda; Insecta; Diptera; Dolichopodidae.